CUGUGUUUUUAGUAAAUGGCGAGCUCUGUGCUUUAACUUUUCAGGUGGCAGCGAGCCAAUAUGCCAUGUUGAGAUUCAUGGCUCCAAAGUGCAAGCACUUCUAACGGUAAAUGGUAAUUCUAAGUUUGCCGUUUAAGUAGUGAUGUGCAGAUGAAUUCGGUUAUGGCGCUGAAUAAGAGUAUUUUCAUGUUGCAAUAAGUGAGAAUAGCUGGAUGUUUUCAUGCUGGCUUGUCGUAGAGUGAGAUUUUCUAUUUUUCUUUUUUAAUGUGAAAGACCUCUUCUGUCUUCUAAGUGUGUGUCGCUGAUAAAAUCUAAGUUUCAUACCAAGUACGUCUAAUUGAGCCUAUAGACAGCCCACUAAUUUCACCAAAUUGUUAAUUUUAUCUGGGUGCAUUCCAUUUACUUGGACUUGAAGGAUAUAGCUUGAAGAACUUAUACACUGAAUGGUUUUUAUGAUAAAGCGGUUUUGGUUCGAAAAGGCCUCGACGGAUUUGCUUUGUCUACCAAGGAUUAGACCUGUAAAGCUUCCUAAAUUGCUCAAAGCUAAAUAAUCGACGGACCAUAAAUGAAGUAUAUAAACUACAAACAUACAGAGCAUUAAGGAACCCGGAAAUAACUAUAGUAUAAACCUUUUCAACAACUAUAAAACUAACAACUAUAUCCACUAAAUGGUUGACUGUCGCCAAAAACAUAAAACAGCAACAACAUUUAGGCGUUGCAAAAGCAAAAUAAAGAAUUAUAAAAUGAUUCAUGAAAACUACAAGUUCCAAAAACCAGCAGCAAAAUAGUUAACAGCCAGCAAACGAUGUUGAGACGAUUCCACGAAAGCAACAAACAACCGCAAUAAUAACAGCAAAACAGCAAAAAGAACUCAUGCUGCCAGAAUGAAUGUUCAAAAAGCACAACUGAAAGAGGCAAUAAAGUGCAAACAAGCCAAAAUGAAGAGAAGCACGAAAAGAACGCAACAACAGUGAACAAAACAAAUGGCAACAUCAAAUUUUGCACACAUUCAUAUAGAGCUGUUGAAACCGAGGACUGUGUGGCUAAGCUAACUCUAUAAACCGGCUUCAUACAACGCGGGUGCAAGGGGGUAAUCGCUUUCGAGACAACAAACAAGAAGUGAAACAUAAAACACCAAAGUUAUGGUACAACAACAAUGCCUGCGCAAAUUAUUGUUGGCAUGCUGUAAUUUAAGUAACUGGCCGUUGUUGUUAGUAUUGCUACUGCUGGUAACUGGCUGAGGCGAUUGCGCUUGACGUGAAGGAAGGGAACUUUAACUUCAAAAUUUUUGAGUGGGGUGUUGGGCAGAUGCGCUGCUUUGUUGCUAUAGAACGUGCAGUGUUGCUAGCGACUAUUGCGAACAGUUGUUUUCAAAUCGCGGGUGCUGCUGCUGUGGCAUAUGCAGUGGAAAAUGAUUUUACAUAAGGCGGCUGAGGCAGAAAUACUUAAAUGUCAGCUUCUUGCUGAUUGCGCUGAUUGAUGAGAAGAUGAUUGGGAUAAAGAUUUGCUCAAUAAAUUAUUGAGGAGUUGAAAAUGCAUAAGAUAUUUGGAUAUAAGAUAGAUAAAGAAGAUUUUGGUAGAGAUUUGCUGAUAGAAGAUAGAUAAAGAAGAUUUGGAUAGAGAUUUGCUUACUAAACUAUUUAGGAAUUGAUAAUGUUUGAAAUAUGAUUAUCGAUAAGUUAUCG
This is a long non-coding RNA of Bactrocera tryoni, 1685 nucleotides long. RefSeq lists it as uncharacterized. Lineage: Eukaryota; Metazoa; Arthropoda; Insecta; Diptera; Tephritidae. The transcript has 3 exons. The record is from RefSeq and is a predicted model, not a curated record.